This 1382-nucleotide ribosomal RNA is filed under the name Staphylococcus aureus. RNAcentral's name for it is "partial 23S ribosomal RNA". It matches the Rfam family "Bacterial large subunit ribosomal RNA", at positions 15 to 1399 of the family's 2925-position model. The record is from RNAcentral. Lineage: Bacteria; Bacillati; Bacillota; Bacilli; Caryophanales; Staphylococcaceae.
GGGCGCACGGUGGAUGCCUUGGCACUAGAAGCCGAUGAAGGACGUUACUAACGACGAUAUGCUUUGGGGAGCUGUAAGUAAGCUUUGAUCCAGAGAUUUCCGAAUGGGGAAACCCAGCAUGAGUUAUGUCAUGUUAUCGAUAUGUGAAUACAUAGCAUAUCAGAAGGCACACCCGGAGAACUGAAACAUCUUAGUACCCGGAGGAAGAGAAAGAAAAUUCGAUUCCCUUAGUAGCGGCGAGCGAAACGGGAAGAGCCCAAACCAACAAGCUUGCUUGUUGGGGUUGUAGGACACUCUAUACGGAGUUACAAAGGACGACAUUAGACGAAUCAUCUGGAAAGAUGAAUCAAAGAAGGUAAUAAUCCUGUAGUCGAAAAUGUUGUCUCUCUUGAGUGGAUCCUGAGUACGACGGAGCACGUGAAAUUCCGUCGGAAUCUGGGAGGACCAUCUCCUAAGGCUAAAUACUCUCUAGUGACCGAUAGUGAACCAGUACCGUGAGGGAAAGGUGAAAAGCACCCCGGAAGGGGAGUGAAAUAGAACCUGAAACCGUGUGCUUACAAGUAGUCAGAGCCCGUUAAUGGGUGAUGGCGUGCCUUUUGUAGAAUGAACCGGCGAGUUACGAUUUGAUGCAAGGUUAAGCAGUAAAUGUGGAGCCGUAGCGAAAGCGAGUCUGAAUAGGGCGUUUAGUAUUUGGUCGUAGACCCGAAACCAGGUGAUCUACCCUUGGUCAGGUUGAAGUUCAGGUAACACUGAAUGGAGGACCGAACCGACUUACGUUGAAAAGUGAGCGGAUGAACUGAGGGUAGCGGAGAAAUUCCAAUCGAACCUGGAGAUAGCUGGUUCUCUCCGAAAUAGCUUUAGGGCUAGCCUCAAGUGAUGAUUAUUGGAGGUAGAGCACUGUUUGGACGAGGGGCCCCUCUCGGGUUACCGAAUUCAGACAAACUCCGAAUGCCAAUUAAUUUAACUUGGGAGUCAGAACAUGGGUGAUAAGGUCCGUGUUCGAAAGGGAAACAGCCCAGACCACCAGCUAAGGUCCCAAAAUAUAUGUUAAGUGGAAAAGGAUGUGGCGUUGCCCAGACAACUAGGAUGUUGGCUUAGAAGCAGCCAUCAUUUAAAGAGUGCGUAAUAGCUCACUAGUCGAGUGACACUGCGCCGAAAAUGUACCGGGGCUAAACAUAUUACCGAAGCUGUGGAUUGUCCUUUGGACAAUGGUAGGAGAGCGUUCUAAGGGCGUUGAAGCAUGAUCGUAAGGACAUGUGGAGCGCUUAGAAGUGAGAAUGCCGGUGUGAGUAGCGAAAGACGGGUGAGAAUCCCGUCCACCGAUUGACUAAGGUUUCCAGAGGAAGGCUCGUCCGCUCUGGGUUAGUCGGGUCCUAAGCUGA